CCUACGGGUGGCAGCAGUGAGGAAUAUUGGUCAAUGGGCGCGAGCCUGAACCAGCCAAGUAGCGUGAAGGAUGACUGCCCUACGGGUUGUAAACUUCUUUUAUAAAGGAAUAAAGUGAGGCACGCGUGCCUUUUUGUAUGUACCUUAUGAAUAAGGAUCGGCUAACUCCGUGCCAGCAGCCGCGGUAAUACGGAGGAUCCGAGCGUUAUCCGGAUUUAUUGGGUUUAAAGGGAGCGUAGGUGGGUUGUUAAGUCAGUUGUGAAAGUUUGCGGCUCAACCGUAGAAUUGCAGUUGAAACUGGCAGCCUUGAGUACAGUAGAGGUAGGCGGAAUGCGUGGUGUAGCGGUGAAAUGCUUAGAUAUCACGAAGAACUCCGAUUGCGAAGGCAGCUUACUAGACUGCCACUGACAUUGAUGCUCGAAAGUGUGGGUAUCAAACAGGAUUAGAUACCCUAGUAGUC
Molecule: ribosomal RNA, 460 nt
Filed under: uncultured bacterium
Lineage: Bacteria
Description: partial 16S ribosomal RNA
Rfam family: Bacterial small subunit ribosomal RNA
Source: RNAcentral